RNAcentral lists this ribosomal RNA (253 nucleotides) under uncultured bacterium. RNAcentral's name for it is "partial 16S ribosomal RNA". It matches the Rfam family "Bacterial small subunit ribosomal RNA", at positions 524 to 776 of the family's 1533-position model. The record is from RNAcentral.
UACGUAGGGUCCGAGCGUUGUCCGGAAUUAUUGGGCGUAAAGAGCUCGUAGGCGGUUCGUCGCGUCGGCUGUGAAAACCCGGAGCUCAACUCCGGGCCUGCAGUCGAUACGGGCGGACUUGAGUGUUGCAGGGGAGACUGGAAUUCCUGGUGUAGCGGUGAAAUGCGCAGAUAUCAGGAGGAACACCGGUGGCGAAGGCGGGUCUCUGGGCAACUACUGACGCUGAGGAGCGAAAGCGUGGGGAGCGAACAGG